GACGAACGCUGGCGGCGUGCUUAACACAUGCAAGUCGAACGGAAAGGCCCUGCUUGCAGGGUACUCGAGUGGCGAACGGGUGAGUAACACGUGGGUGAUCUGCCCUGCACUUCGGGAUAAGCCUGGGAAACUGGGUCUAAUACCGGAUAGGAGCCAUUUUUAGUGUGAUGGUUGGAAAGUUUGUUCGGUGUAGGAUGAGCUCGCGGCCUAUCAGCUUGUUGGUGGGGUAAUGGCCUACCAAGGCGGCGACGGGUAGCCGGCCUGAGAGGGUGGACGGCCACAUUGGGACUGAGAUACGGCCCAGACUCCUACGGGAGGCAGCAGUGGGGAAUAUUGCACAAUGGGCGCAAGCCUGAUGCAGCGACGCCGCGUGGGGGAUGACGGCCUUCGGGUUGUAAACUCCUUUCGCUAGGGACGAAGCUUUUGUGACGGUACCUAGAUAAGAAGCACCGGCUAACUACGUG
This 464-nucleotide ribosomal RNA is filed under the name uncultured bacterium. Its description in RNAcentral is "partial 16S ribosomal RNA". It matches the Rfam family "Bacterial small subunit ribosomal RNA", at positions 28 to 507 of the family's 1533-position model. The record is from RNAcentral.